Molecule: ribosomal RNA, 465 nt
Filed under: uncultured bacterium
Lineage: Bacteria
Description: partial 16S ribosomal RNA
Rfam family: Bacterial small subunit ribosomal RNA
Source: RNAcentral
CCUACGUGAGGCAGCAGUGGGGAAUAUUGCGCAAUGGGCGAAAGCCUGACGCAGCGACGCCGCGUGAGGGAUGAAGGUCUUCGGAUCGUAAACCUCUGUCAGCAGGGAAGAACGGUCACUGUGCUAAUCAGCAGUGAAUUGACGGUACCUGCAAAGGAAGCACCGGCUAACUCCGUGCCAGCAGCCGCGGUAAUACGGAGGGUGCGAGCGUUAAUCGGAAUUACUGGGCGUAAAGCGCUCGUAGGCGGUAUGUCAAGUCAAGGGUGAAAUCCCCGCGCUCAACGUGGGAACUGCCUUUGAAACUGGCAAACUGGAGUGUGCGAGAGGAUAGUGGAAUUCCAGGUGUAGGAGUGAAAUCCGUAGAUAUCUGGAGGAACAUCAGUGGCGAAGGCGACUAUCUGGCACAUAACUGACGCUGAGGAGCGAAAGCGUGGGUAGCAAACAGGAUUAGAUACCCCAGUAGUC